CUUCCGGUUGUCAGCAACGGUCGUGGCUCAGGUUCAAGGUCCCUGAGGUCCCUGGCUCCCAUGUUUCUGGUUUCUUGGGUGUUACUGCCUCUUGAGGUUCUAGUUCAUUGAGGUUCUACACUCCCAAAGCUCUGGAUUUGAGGGGUUCUAGGUACCUGAGGUCCCCUCCCCCCAGCUCCAGGUCCCAGAGGCUCUAGAUUCCCGAGGUUCUAGAUAGUCGAGGCUCUGGACUACUGAUGUUCUAAAUCACCGAGGUUCUGGGUCACUGAG
This 270-nucleotide long non-coding RNA is filed under the name Ornithorhynchus anatinus (platypus). Its description in RNAcentral is "lncRNA (ENSOANG00000037220.1)". Lineage: Eukaryota; Metazoa; Chordata; Mammalia; Monotremata; Ornithorhynchidae. The record is from RNAcentral.